Molecule: long non-coding RNA, 282 nt
Organism: Zonotrichia leucophrys gambelii
Lineage: Eukaryota; Metazoa; Chordata; Aves; Passeriformes; Passerellidae
Exons: 3
Source: RefSeq, a predicted model, not a curated record
GGGGAGCUGGAGUCAGUUGGCUGCUUUAUAAAUAAGAAAGAGUUAGUGCUCUGAGGAGAAGCUCACAAGAAACACCAAGAAGGAAGUAGACGGAAAUAGCACAGAAGUUUUAAAUAAACUGAAAAUCACUCAGGAAAAUCAAAGAAUCAGAAUAUUCAAAGGUGGAAGGGACCCAGAAGGAUCAUCCAAGUCUGACUCUUGGCCCUGCACAGGACAGCCCCAAGAAUGACACCAUGUGCUCAAGAGCAUUGUUCAAACGCUUCUCCAACUCUGACAGCCUUG